UCACUGGCUUCGACAUCAAUCAUCAAAUGAUCCCGGUAACUACAUAUGGCACUCCAGGUUCUCUAAAUGUGCUACAAAAUUGAUUUUGAACAAUAAAUGAAAGACUCUAAAAUGGUUAAAUUUUAAAUAUAUUUAGUGAAGAUAUAGUACUUACGAGCGACUCUGAAUGUGGACGAGCUCUCUAUCCUUCGAUCGAGUUAGAGAUGCCAC
RNAcentral lists this long non-coding RNA (210 nucleotides) under Elaeis guineensis (African oil palm). RNAcentral's name for it is "long non-coding RNA (EGUI_LNC021784)". The record is from RNAcentral. Lineage: Eukaryota; Viridiplantae; Streptophyta; Magnoliopsida; Arecales; Arecaceae.